AGAAUCAACGCUGGCGGCGUGCCUAACACAUGCAAGUCGAACGAGAAAGUGGAGCAAUCCAUUAGUAAAGUGGCGCACGGGUGAGUAACACGUGACUAACCUACCCUUGAGUGGGGGAUAACCUAGAGAAAUCUGGGCUAAUACCGCAUAAUACCUUCGGGUCAAAGGAGCAAUUCGCUUAAGGAGGGGGUCGCGGCCGAUUAGUUAGUUGGCGGGGUAAUGGCCCACCAAGACUAUGAUCGGUAUCCGGCCUGAGAGGGCGCACGGACACACUGGAACUGAAACACGGUCCAGACUCCUACGGGAGGCAGCAGUGGGGAAUUUGCGCAAUGGGGGAAACCCUGACGCAGCAACGCCGCGUGGAGGAUGAAGCCCCUUGGGGCGUAAACUCCUUUCGAUCGGACGAUAAUGACGGUACCGAGAGAAGAAGCCCGGCUAACUUCGCGCCAGCAGCCGC
This 457-nucleotide ribosomal RNA is filed under the name uncultured bacterium. RNAcentral describes it as "SSU rRNA". It matches the Rfam family "Bacterial small subunit ribosomal RNA", at positions 26 to 518 of the family's 1533-position model. The record is from RNAcentral.